This 354-nucleotide ribosomal RNA is filed under the name Triticum aestivum (bread wheat). RNAcentral describes it as "partial small subunit ribosomal RNA". The record is from RNAcentral. Lineage: Eukaryota; Viridiplantae; Streptophyta; Magnoliopsida; Poales; Poaceae.
AUGAACUGGAGGAGGAGGAUGAGUAAAGGAGAAGCUGCUGGAUCGAGAAAGGAUGGGAGAAAAUACACAAGCUGGUGCAGGCUGCCCAUUAACUCUUCUAAAACAAUAAUGUGGGAUCAGUACAAUUAUUGUGUGAUGGGGUAUGCAUACUUAUUGUGUGGUGGGGCAUUCACACUUAUUGAUGUGUCAUACAUUGACUAUGCAAUAUUGAUAUACAGUGCCAAGAAAUCAAUAUACAUGACUUGUUGUACAAAUACUGCACUGAUCUAUGCGCAGCGAACGGAUGAGAUACCAUCCUCGCGUGGUCGCAUGUCCACCCGUGAUUUAUCGCUAAUAUCCCAUCUUAAAGUAUGA